UACGGAGGGGGCUAGCGUUGUUCGGAAUUACUGGGCGUAAAGCGCGCGCAGGCGGUUUUUCAAGUCAGUGGUGAAAGCCCGGAGCUCAACUCCGGAAAUGCCAUUGAAACUGUAAAACUUGAGGACGAGAGAGGUGAGUGGAAUUCCCAGUGUAGAGGUGAAAUUCGUAGAUAUUGGGAAGAACACCGGUGGCGAAGGCGGCUCACUGGCUCGUUUCUGACGCUCAGGCGCGAUAGCGUGGGGAGCAAACAGG
Molecule: ribosomal RNA, 253 nt
Filed under: uncultured bacterium
Lineage: Bacteria
Description: partial 16S ribosomal RNA
Rfam family: Bacterial small subunit ribosomal RNA
Source: RNAcentral